Molecule: ribosomal RNA, 476 nt
Filed under: uncultured bacterium
Lineage: Bacteria
Description: bacterial SSU rRNA
Rfam family: Bacterial small subunit ribosomal RNA
Source: RNAcentral
AGCUUGCUAGAACCUGUAUACAGGUGCUGCACGGCUGUCGUCAGCUCGUGUCGUGAGAUGUUGGGUUAAGUCCCGCAACGAGCGCAACCCACGUGAUUAGUUACUAACAGUUCGGCUGAGGACUCUAAUCAGACUGCCUUCGUAAGGAGGAGGAAGGUGUGGACGACGUCAAGUCAUCAUGGCCCUUACGGCCAGGGCUACACACGUGCUACAAUGGGGUAUACAGAGAGCCGCAAUACCGCGAGGUGGAGCAAAUCUUAAAAAUAUCUCCCAGUUCGGAUAGUAGUCUGCAACUCGACUACUUGAAGUUGGAAUCGCUAGUAAUCGUAGAUCAGCAAUGCUACGGUGAAUACGUUCCCGGGUCUUGUACUCACCGCCCGUCACACCAUGGGAGUUGAAUUCAUUCGAAGCGGGGAUGCUAAAAUAGCUACCUUCCACAGUGGAUUUAGUAACUAGGGUGAAGUCGUAACAAGGUA